This 207-nucleotide ribosomal RNA is filed under the name Clostridioides difficile. RNAcentral describes it as "partial 23S ribosomal RNA". It matches the Rfam family "Bacterial large subunit ribosomal RNA", at positions 2625 to 2834 of the family's 2925-position model. The record is from RNAcentral. Lineage: Bacteria; Bacillati; Bacillota; Clostridia; Peptostreptococcales; Peptostreptococcaceae.
GACAGUUCGGUCCCUAUCCGUCGCAGGCGUAGGAAAUUUGAGAAGACCUGUCCUUAGUACGAGAGGACCGGGAUGGACGUACCUCUGGUGUACCAGUUGUCCUGCCAAGGGCAUGGCUGGGUAGCUAUGUACGGAAUGGAUAAGCGCUGAAAGCAUCUAAGCGCGAAGCCAACUUCAAGAUAAGAUUUCCCACCGCAAGGGUAAGAC